Molecule: long non-coding RNA, 1874 nt
Organism: Poecilia latipinna (sailfin molly)
Lineage: Eukaryota; Metazoa; Chordata; Actinopteri; Cyprinodontiformes; Poeciliidae
Exons: 2
Source: RefSeq, a predicted model, not a curated record
AAACAGCUACGUGGGAACCGCCCCAAGUUUCCCACGUUUCUGCGGGACGACUCUGAGUCAGCCUGCUCCCUGUUUCCAUGUCAAAACAUCCCGUACUGGUGCCACGAACGUGGACGGAACAAACGUGCAGAAAGCGGAGCGACGCUAAUGGCUCCCACAGCUCCGUGAGCUCAGGCGCACAGCGCUCCAUAAAUAUUUCAACGUGGAACAUCGCGGAUCAAUAAAGGCCUGCGGGAUGGGAAUACUCACGGGUUCGCGGAGUGAACGAUGCUGUUAUUUCAUCUGAACGAUGUUGGCAUUCCUGGAGCUCCGCAGCCUGACAAACAACAUGUUUGUCGCUGAGAUAACCUGCUGUUGUUCCCGGUGGUUAUUAAGUGGAUUAACCCCUUUAGAUUAGUCUCGGCCACUUCUCCCAUCUGUCCACUUGAGCACCCCAGAUAUGGUUCUGGACGAGCACCGAGGGGAUCACACACACACACACACACGCACACACACACUACACAGCAACAGAGGCUUUGUGGGCAGCCUCGUGUUUACAUAAGGAACUCCUUUUCCAUCUCACCCGCUGUUCAUACGGCCCGAGCGUGAUCAACACGCACAGAUCUGACCGCUUUCCACAAGUGUUACGGCAGCCAUAGAAAAAUACAACGGGACUGUAAACGGUUAAUGAUUUAAACCUCAGCUGAGAACAGUUUACAUGCAGCUCAUAAACACUGUCGACACAUUCAGGUUGAGCGAGUGGCUCUGGGCUCUUUGAUCGCAGCUGUUCCUCUGCGGGGACUUUAGAUUAAACGGGUUUUAUGCCCCGCGUACAUUUCUGGUGAUGCGUUUUAUUUGUCUUACGCAACCGUAGUCUCAUCACAAGUAACCAAACGUACGGAGGGAGAACAAACGUUUAAAAAGCAGCUCCAAAAGACAAAAGUGUGUUAAGAAAAGGAGAAUUUCUUUGCAGUUUGCAGGGUAGGAAAGUUGACACGGAUCCAACUAAAUUACGCUGAGUUCAAAUGAAUUAUUCAGCUUUGUUCUCUCUUUUGGUGUCUACAUGUUUAUGUCACUUUUUAGCCAAUCAAACAAACUCUUUUCAUAUUGGUCAGAUUAAAUGCAGUUAGCCCAAAUGUUUAUCAAAAUAUAAUAUUUUCUCUCCAUAAAUGACACCAUGUGGAGUUUCCUGAUGUGAAUGACCUUUGUUUCAUGCAUUUUGCGUCACUUUUGCAAAAAGAAAAGGAAUUUGAUUCUACAUUACUUUUUAAACCAGCAAUGUGUGGUAAGACUAAAUAGAUAAUUAAGUGUACAAGUAAUGGAACAAAUUUCACAGGUAGUAGUUUGGAAAACUUGGUGCAACCUGCACACACAAUCAAAACCUUCCACAAGGCUUCAAAAAAAAAAAAAAAACAUAAUUAAUUAUGCUGCUGAUAUUAAACACAUUUAUCUGUAAAUGUUUACCAGUGAAGCUAAGACAAGCCUGAUUAGAUGGAUGUUCACUACAAAUAAAUAGCUAUGAACAUUUUAUGCAUUUAGUUAAUCACAUAAAUGUAAAACUGAUAUAAUUAGCUAAAUAACAAAAGUUGCCAGUCCUGUUUCUUUUCAGGAAUUUAAAGCAAAAAAACAAAACAAAAAAAGCAGAAAGAAACUACGUUUUUAUGCUCCCAGAUGAAGCCGUAACCGAGACAGAAACAAGAUCCUAAACAUGGAAAUAAAGAGUUUUAACAGCAACAGAACUGGCUGGACAGGUUUUCUUUCUGUAACGUGGGGCCUCACAGAGUCCUGAGCUCCCUCUGGACUCACAACUUCAUGUUUGCUCUUGUUUGUUUAUGCUGAACAUGCAAACAAUAUGUUCUUACACAGAUACUUUUAUAUAAUAAAAGAAGGGCAAG